GCGGAAGUGGCGGAAUCGGCAGACGCGCAGGAUUUAGGAUCCUGUGCCUUCGGGCGUGGGGGUUCAAAUCCCCCCUUCCGCACCA
Molecule: transfer RNA, 85 nt
Filed under: Planctomycetota bacterium
Lineage: Bacteria; Pseudomonadati; Planctomycetota
Description: Planctomycetes bacterium tRNA-Leu
Rfam family: tRNA
About the family: Transfer RNA (tRNA) molecules are approximately 80 nucleotides in length. Their secondary structure includes four short double-helical elements and three loops (D, anti-codon, and T loops).
Source: RNAcentral